GUGGCGCGGGGCGUGCCUGAGGUGGCGCGCGAGCUGGUGGCGGAGGCGCAGCAGUCGGGCGUGAAGGGCGCGGCGCGCGCGGCGCUCGCCAGGGCGGAGCCCGUGGCGAGGGACGUGUACGGCCGCGUGGAGCCCGUGGCGAGGGACCUGUACGUGCGGUACGAGCCCGCGGCGGAGCACCUGGCCGUCUCCGCCUGGCGCUCUCUCAACGGCCUGCCGGUGUUCCCGCACGUCGCGCAGAUCGUCGUGCCCACCGCCGCGCACUGGGCCGAGAAGUACAACAGGGCGGUCGUCGCCGCGGCCGAGCGGGGCUACGCCGGAGCCAAGU
This 328-nucleotide long non-coding RNA is filed under the name Sorghum bicolor (sorghum). RNAcentral describes it as "long non-coding RNA (SBIC_LNC003935)". The record is from RNAcentral. Lineage: Eukaryota; Viridiplantae; Streptophyta; Magnoliopsida; Poales; Poaceae.